GGCCUACGGGGGGCAGCAGUGAGGAAUAUUGGUCAAUGGGCGGAAGCCUGAACCAGCCAAGUCGCGUGAGGGAAUAAGGCCCUACGGGUCGUAAACCUCUUUUGCCGGGGAGCAAGGGCCGGGACGAGUCCCGGUCCGGAGAGUACCCGGAGAAAAAGCAUCGGCUAACUCCGUGCCAGCAGCCGCGGUAAUACGGAGGAUGCGAGCGUUAUCCGGAUUUAUUGGGUUUAAAGGGUGCGUAGGCGGGCUUUUAAGUCAGCGGUAAAAUUGAGAGGCUCAACCUCUUCGAGCCGUUGAAACUGGUU
This 305-nucleotide ribosomal RNA is filed under the name uncultured bacterium. RNAcentral's name for it is "bacterial SSU rRNA". It matches the Rfam family "Bacterial small subunit ribosomal RNA", at positions 335 to 638 of the family's 1533-position model. The record is from RNAcentral.